This is an RNA transcript of Vitis riparia (riverbank grape), 1330 nucleotides long. RefSeq lists it as uncharacterized. Lineage: Eukaryota; Viridiplantae; Streptophyta; Magnoliopsida; Vitales; Vitaceae. The record is from RefSeq and is a predicted model, not a curated record. The transcript is spliced from 8 exons.
GGAGUAGUAGUGAGAAGAACAAAGGCCAUGUCCUCAACAAUGUCGCUUACCUCUUUCUGGGUGUUGCUAUUUCUGUGAAUGGGCACUGUGGUGUAUCGUGCAGCUGUAUGUUCGCAUCCCAGGCUAAGGGUUCCAACUCUCAGAAUUGUAAGUUCAUUGGGAACCAAUGUAUCAAGGUGGCAAGUAUUGGAGCAAGUGGAUAAGGAGCUGGCCAAGGGAGAUGACAGAACAGCUCUCUCUCUUGUCAAGGACCUGCAAGGGAAGCCUGAUGGGCUUAGAUGUUUUGGUGCUGCCAGGCAGGUACCGCAAAGGCUCUACACAUUGGAUGAAUUAAAGCUGAAUGGAAUUGAAGCGUCGUCUCUUCUAUCACCAGUGGAUGCAACUCUUGGUUCUAUAGAAAGAAACCUGCAGCUUGCUGCUGUUUUGGGAGGGCUUUCUGCAUGGAAUGUGUUUGGGUUUAGUCCACAACAACUCCUAUUGUUGUCUUUAGGAUUGUUGUUCUUGUGGACUCUGGACUUGGUUUCUUUUAAUGGAGGAGUUGGUAGCUUGGUUCUUGAUACAAUUGGUCAUACUUUCAGUCAGAAGUACCAUAACAGGGUUAUUCAACAUGAAGCUGGCCAUUUCUUAAUUGCCUACUUGCUGGGCAUUCUUCCUAAGGGGUAUACCCUAACAAGCUUGGAAGCUUUGCAGAAGGAAGGAUCUCUCAAUAUUCAAGCAGGAACUGCUUUUGUGGAUUUCGAGUUUCUUGAAGAAGUUAAUUCAGGAAAAGUAUCGGCUACGAUGCUGAACAGGUUCUCAUGCAUAGCACUUGCUGGAGUGGUAACCGAGUAUCUUCUAUACGGAUAUGCAGAGGGAGGCCUUGCUGAUAUUAACAAGUUGGAUUUGUUGCUUAAAGGCUUGGGCUUCACACAGAAGAAAGCAGAUUCACAAGUGAGAUGGUCUGUAUUGAACACUGUCCUAAUCUUGCGUCGCCAUAAGCAAGCACAAGGAAAGCUAACCGAGGCCAUGUCUAUGGGAAAGUCUGUAGGAGCAUGCAUUGGGGUCAUAGAGGAAAACAUAGACAACACAGACAUUUAAUUUCAACUGAGUUUUCACUGAUGCCUGAAAAUCGGUCUUUGCUAACCAGUAAACCUUUUACUGAUCCAUAGUUUAAUCACUGAACUCUUGUUGGAUAUGAAAUUUUGACUUGGAGCUUGAAGGCAGUGAAGAUGCAUUCAUUCUCUGGGAAACCUGCUACCCAAACUCCAUUCAGUUCAUGCAUUAAUAAAGAACAUUUGAUGAGCAACUGAUAUAGUGAAAUAAAAUGUUCCACAAUGGUUGAUCAUGCUUA